GAUGAAGAACGUAGUGAAAUGCGAUACUUGGUGUGAAUUGCAGAAUCCCGUGAACCAUCGAGUCUUUGAACGCAAGUUGCGCCCGAAGCCAUUAGGCCGAGGGCACGCCUGCCUGGGUGUCACACAUCGUUACCCCAACGCAAACAUGUAACAAUGUUGCUGCGCGGGGUGUAUGCUGACCUCCCGCGAGCACCCGCCUCGUGGUUGGUUGAAAUCUGGGCUCAUGGCCGACUUCGCCGUGAUAAAAUGGUGGAUGAGCCACGCUCGAGACCAAUCACGUGCGAGCCGGUCAGUUCUGGACCCAUCGACGACCCUUUGCGUGCACGCACGCUCCCAACGAGACCUCAGGUCAGGCGGGGCUACCCGCUGAGUUUAAGCAUAUCAAUAAGCGGAGGA
RNAcentral lists this unclassified non-coding RNA (396 nucleotides) under soil metagenome. RNAcentral describes it as "partial contains 5.8S ribosomal RNA, internal transcribed spacer 2, and large subunit ribosomal RNA". The stretch from base 1 to 122 matches the Rfam family "5.8S ribosomal RNA", at positions 35 to 154 of the family's 154-position model. The record is from RNAcentral.